CACGAACCCGACAAACGUUAUUCGGAAUUAUUGGGCUUAAAGGGUGCGUAGGCGGUGCGGUAAGUGGGGUGUGAAAUCCCUCGGCUCAACCGAGGAAUUGCGCUUCAUACUGCCGUGCUGGAGGGAGACAGGGGUAAGCGGAACUGAUGGUGGAGCGGUGAAAUGCGUUGAUAUCAUCAGGAACACCGGUGGCGAAAGCGGCUUACUGGGUCUCUUCUGACGCUGAGGCACGAAAGCUAGGGUAGCGAACGGGAUUAGAAACCCCGUAGUCC
Molecule: ribosomal RNA, 272 nt
Filed under: uncultured bacterium
Lineage: Bacteria
Description: partial 16S ribosomal RNA
Rfam family: Bacterial small subunit ribosomal RNA
Source: RNAcentral